GUCAUUUGAAAAGCUUCGCCUGGUAAGAACUGAUAUCUCUUCUUUACUUCAUUGUUGGUUCUUAAUCAGGAUUUAGAGGACUAAAUCCCCAUGAAUUAUAAUUGUCAUCCAGAUUGAAGCAAGUAUCUGCUUGGUCUUUUGUGUUCAGUGCCACCAAUAGUUGUUUUGUACUUUUGUCACAUUUUCUUAAAGAAACAUAAUUUAGCUUCAGUCUUUUGUUUGUACUAUAUACUAUGAGUUGGUGUGUCGUUUUCAGUUGGUUCCUAACCCAAAUACCUAAUGUUAAUUGUUUUUAGAUGAAAAGAAAUAAUUUAUUAGUAAGAGAAUGGAAAUUACUUGAGGAAGUUCCUCUAAUUGAUGCAAAAGAUAAAAAAAAACAAAAGGAAAAGAAAAGGCCAAGCCCUCAAAUCUCACUGUUAUUGCCUAGGGACACCUCUUUAAAACCCCUGAAGCAGAAAGCCAUAGAAGAACUUUUAUGUGAAUUAUACAUGUGUUCCUUUUCAAUUACUGGUUUUUGAGUUUACAUUUCUGAUUAUGGAAUUUGUUCCUAUUUUAUUUGAAAUUCAGGGAUUUUUGUUCUUUAUUCCGUUGCUUACAAGUGCAAUACUUUCAAAUGGCAAUGAAUUUCAUAUAUUAAGUCUGUUCAGCAUUGCUGUAACUGCUAUUAAGAAGAGCUCCAAUUUGAAUACAAUGAUUAAAUACAUUGACUUAAGCACAAUUAAACAAAUUAUUGUUAACAUAGAUUUUGACUUGGUCAUAAAAACUCCAAAACAUCUAACCAAAGUUGUCUGAAACAACUCAUUUGAAACAUCACCAUUUCAGAUAGUAGUUGCAUUCUCAAUAACAAACAGUCACUAAGCGAUUAAAGGAAAGUGCAUGAAUAAACUAUUUAUUCAUGAAGCAUGAGGGGUAGUGGCUGUCAAUUUCAUUUUGCACAGCAGCCUGAGUUGUUCAUUUGUUCUGGUGUCUAUUUAUCUUCCCUAUCUAUCUAUGUGUAUCUUAUGCUGACAUUUGUUCCUGCACAUUGGAAACAUAUGUGCCAAGUUUUAUAAAAAGUGAACAUCUAGAGUAUUUCAGUAAUCAUUUUUAACUUUCUUCAUCUGGAAAAUCAAUUGCGGAUGUGGUCUUGGAAAAUAUAAAAAUAAUUUGAGUUCACACUCUCGUUAGUCAACUUUCACCAGGAUUGGAAACAAUAAUUUUGAUUUCUAGAUGGUGGACAUGUUGGUAAAAUAAAUUGAUGAUAGGGUUAGUUUUUGUCCCUUACUAGGUACAGUGUAGGAUAUUAAACUACAUAAGAUUAGUACUGUGCUGUGAACGAAACUGAAUUUGAGAGGAGAAUCAGUGAUACGGUAUUGGAAGAAGAGUCAACUUAGGAAUUAUAUUCAUUAAAGAAUUAGAAAGUUUACAUUUUUAUUGUUUUGGAAUUCUGUUAUUAUUUACGAAUAUUUGAGAGUUGUAUUAGGUUUAGCAUUUUAUUUAGGAAGUUUGAGUUU
RNAcentral lists this unclassified non-coding RNA (1493 nucleotides) under Hevea brasiliensis (rubber tree). The record is from RNAcentral. Lineage: Eukaryota; Viridiplantae; Streptophyta; Magnoliopsida; Malpighiales; Euphorbiaceae.